Gorilla gorilla gorilla (western lowland gorilla) is the source of this 1083-nucleotide long non-coding RNA. RefSeq lists it as uncharacterized. The transcript has 2 exons. NCBI's taxonomy places the organism in Eukaryota, Metazoa, Chordata, Mammalia, Primates, Hominidae. The record is from RefSeq and is a predicted model, not a curated record.
CAAUUAGAAUUUAAUUUCUAUGCGAGCAGGGUCAUUGUGAGUAUUGUUCACUGUUAUUCCUCGUAUCUAGAACAGGGGUAUAAACUGUUGAUAGUGAAAUCACACCACAUAUACUAAUGUGCAAUUUUCACAUUCCAUUUAAUAUAAUGUAACACAAACAGGUAUAUAUUUAUUCUUUUUAAAGAUUGCACUAUUCCAUUUUAUGACUAUGUGGUUCAUCAUUAAACCAUCUCUUUAUUGAUGGGCUAUUGGAUAUUUCCAGUUGUUAUAGGAGAGCUUCUACAGAAUGAAUUACUAGAAGUUGAAAUGCUACUGAAAGGGUAGGAAUCUGUUUAAUUUAAAUAGCUAUUUAUAAAUUCCCCUUUAGAAACAUUGUAGUGAUUUAUACUCCUACCAAGAGUCACAUGGAUGUUCCCACUUACCUACCUAUGGCUCAAGAAUUCUCUACCUAUCCCCUUUUUGGACUCUGUCUUGUCCACUUGACUUGUCAUUGUGGAACGUGCACACUUACCGAAGGCAGGGACUUCAUCUAUGGCCAUUGUAAAUGCUGUUUAGUUUAGUUUUGGCAUUUAUUCGUUUAUAUGUUGAUUCCUUUCUAGAGGUAAUUCAUUUGUGAAGUCACUAUGGUAGAGCAGUGGCCACUCAUGGCCACAUACUGACCAGAUCUCACUUAAAGGACAGGGGUAAGCCCCAGGGGUAUAUUACCAAAGUAUUGAGCCAAGAUGAAUUACAAGUGUUUAUCCAAGACAGCAUGAGAUAAUAAAAUCUGGGUAGAACACCAGUUAUUGAAAAUCACGAGGAUCAUGGCUAGAGAAAUUGCAGGAACUUUAAAUCUAAACGGUGAGGUGCUGCUGAAAACUGGAGGAGAAACAGUUAAGAGGAUCAACAAUAUGAGAUGGAGAUCAGGCCUCACAGAGACACAAGGGGCCACCGGCACAAGAGGGACCACCCUAGGAAGACGCAACAAAAUGGUGGCCAACAGCAAGCCAAGGAGAGAGCCUCAGAAGAAACCAAACCUGCUGACACGUCGAUCAUGAACUUUUGACCUCUCGAAUGUUAAGAAAAUAAAUAUCUGCUCUUUAA